RNAcentral lists this ribosomal RNA (460 nucleotides) under uncultured bacterium. RNAcentral describes it as "partial 16S ribosomal RNA". It matches the Rfam family "Bacterial small subunit ribosomal RNA", at positions 338 to 795 of the family's 1533-position model. The record is from RNAcentral.
CCUACGGGAGGCAGCAGUGAGGAAUAUUGGUCAAUGGCCGGAAGGCUGAACCAGCCAUGCCGCGUGAAGGUCAGUGCCCUAUGGGCGUUAAACUUCUUUUGUGCGGGAGCAAUAAUGGUCACGUGUGGCCAGACGAGAGUACCGUACGAAUAAGCAUCGGCUAAACCCGUUCCAGCAGCCGCGGUAAUACGGGGGAUGCAAGCGUUAUCCGGAUUUAUUGGGUUUAAAGGGUGCGUAGGCUGGGAGGUAAGUCAGCGGUGAAAUGCCCCCGCUCAACGGGGUGAAGUGCCAUUGAUACUGCCUGGCUGGAAUGCGGAUGCCGUGGGAGGAAUGUGUGGUGUAGCGGUGAAAUGCAUAGAUAUCACACAGAACACCGAUUGCGAAGGCAUCUCACGAAUCCGCGAUUGACGCUGAUGCACGAAAGCGUGGGUAUCAAACAGGAUUAGAUACCCUAGUAGUC